This 47-nucleotide non-coding RNA is filed under the name Roseovarius halotolerans. RNAcentral describes it as "Guanidine-II sequence". It matches the Rfam family "Guanidine-II riboswitch aptamer (mini-ykkC)". Rfam says of the family: Simpler in structure and has fewer highly conserved nucleotide positions than the ykkC-yxkD leader. Despite this each of its two stem-loop structures directly bind free guanidine. Therefore, mini-ykkC RNA motif represents a distinct class of guanidine-sensing RNAs. Lineage: Bacteria; Pseudomonadati; Pseudomonadota; Alphaproteobacteria; Rhodobacterales; Roseobacteraceae. The record is from Rfam by way of RNAcentral.
GGAUGAGGACGGCCUCACCAUCUUGGUCAUCAUGCGGGACGGCCCGG